CCCUUAGAUGUUCUGGGCUGCACGCGCGCUACACUGAAGCGUUCAACGAGUAUUCACCUUGCCCGGGAGGGUUGGGUAAUCUUUUGAAAACGCGUCGUGAUGGGGAUAGAUUAUUGCAAUUAUUAAUCUUCAACGAGGAAUGCCUAGUAAGCGCAAGUCAUCAGCUUGCGUUGAUUACGUCCCUGCCCUUUGUACACACCGCCCGUCGCUCCUACCGAUUGAAUGGUCCGGUGAAGCGUUCGGACCGUGGCCUUUGGACGGUUCGCCGUCUGUUGGCUGCGGGAAGUUCGUUAAACCUUAUCAUUUAGAGGAAGGAGAAGUCGUAACA
RNAcentral lists this ribosomal RNA (328 nucleotides) under uncultured eukaryote. RNAcentral's name for it is "partial 18S ribosomal RNA". It matches the Rfam family "Eukaryotic small subunit ribosomal RNA", at positions 1470 to 1796 of the family's 1831-position model. The record is from RNAcentral.